RNAcentral lists this ribosomal RNA (452 nucleotides) under uncultured microorganism. RNAcentral describes it as "bacterial SSU rRNA". It matches the Rfam family "Archaeal small subunit ribosomal RNA", at positions 330 to 745 of the family's 1478-position model. The record is from RNAcentral.
GUGCAGCAGGCGCGAAAACUCCGCAAUGCUCGAAAGAGUGACGGGGGAUUCCAAGUGCCUACGCUUAGCGUAGGCUGUUCAGAUGCCUAAAAAGCAUCUGGAGUAAGGGCUGGGUAAGACGGGUGCCAUCUGCAGUGGUAAUGAAAAACUUGCUACUGCAAGGCAUAAGCCGCCGCGGUAAUACCCGCAGCCCGAGUGGUAGUCGCUUUUAUUGGGCCUAAAGCGUCCGUAGCCGGUCUGGUAAAUGCCUGGGGUAAAUCGUGGGGCCUAACCUCACGAACUCCGGGUAGACUGCCAGACUUGGGACCGGUUGAGGGAGAGGGUACUCCAGGGGUAGGGGUGAAAUCCUGUAAUCCUUGGAGGACCACCGGUGGCGAAAGCGCUCUCCUAGGACGGUCCGACGGUGAGGGACGAAAGCCAGGGGAGCAAACCGGAUUAGAUACCCCCGUAGU